RNAcentral lists this ribosomal RNA (490 nucleotides) under uncultured bacterium. RNAcentral's name for it is "partial 16S ribosomal RNA". It matches the Rfam family "Bacterial small subunit ribosomal RNA", at positions 28 to 507 of the family's 1533-position model. The record is from RNAcentral.
GUUGAACGCUGGCGGCAGGCCUAACACAUGCAAGUCGAACGGUAACAGGUAGCAGCUUGCUGCUUUGCUGACGAGUGGCGGAAGGGUGUGUACUGUCUGGGGGAAUGACCGCUGGAGGGGGCUGACUACUGGCAACGGUCUCUAAUACAGAAUAACGUAGCCGGACCAAAGAGGGGGUCCUUAGGGCUACUUGCCAUCGGAUGUGACCAGAUGGGAUUAGCUUGGAGGUUGGGUAAUGGCUCACCUUGGCGACAGUCACUAGCUGAUCUGCGAGGAGGACAGGCCACACUGGAAGUGAGACACGGGCCAGACUCCGACGGGGGGCAGCAGUGGGGAAUUAUGCACAAUGGGCGCAAGCCUGAUGCAGCCAUGCCGCGUGGAUGAAGAAGGCAUUCGGGUUGGAAAGUACUUGCAGCAGGGAGGAAGGGAGUAAAGUUAAUACCUUUGCGCAUUGACGUUACCCGCAGAAGAAGCACCGGCUAACUCCGUG